AUUGAACGCUGGCGGCAGGCCUAACACAUGCAAGUCGAGCGGAUGAAGGGAGCUUGCUCCUGGAUUCAGCGGCGGACGGGUGAGUAAUGCCUAGGAAUCUGCCUGGUAGUGGGGGAUAACGUCCGGAAACGGGCGCUAAUACCGCAUACGUCCUGAGGGAGAAAGUGGGGGAUCUUCGGACCUCACGCUAUCAGAUGAGCCUAGGUCGGAUUAGCUAGUUGGUGGGGUAAAGGCCUACCAAGGCGACGAUCCGUAACUGGUCUGAGAGGAUGAUCAGUCACACUGGAACUGAGACACGGUCCAGACUCCUACGGGAGGCAGCAGUGGGGAAUAUUGGACAAUGGGCGAAAGGCUGAUCCAGCCAUGCCGCGUGUGUGAAGAAGGUCUUCGGAUUGUAAAGCACUUUAAGUUGGGAGGAAGGGCAGUAAGUUAAUACCUUGCUGUUUUGACGUUACCAACAGAAUAAGCACCGGCUAACUUCGUG
RNAcentral lists this ribosomal RNA (484 nucleotides) under uncultured bacterium. Its description in RNAcentral is "partial 16S ribosomal RNA". It matches the Rfam family "Bacterial small subunit ribosomal RNA", at positions 30 to 507 of the family's 1533-position model. The record is from RNAcentral.